Molecule: long non-coding RNA, 220 nt
Filed under: Elaeis guineensis (African oil palm)
Lineage: Eukaryota; Viridiplantae; Streptophyta; Magnoliopsida; Arecales; Arecaceae
Description: long non-coding RNA (EGUI_LNC006586)
Source: RNAcentral
UAUAGAACUGGUCAACCAAUAUGUGCACAGCAUGUUCUGAGUUGAAAACAGGUUCAACGCACCGAGUAUUCUACAGAGGCAAGUCUCACCUCGAGCAAAACUCACGGCCUGGAUUGAAUUUAGGGUGAGUUGCGUGACAUAAGGUGCAGGGUGGGCCAGGGUUCAGAUCUCCUAUGGUGCGACAGUGCAUGCUGGGAUGGGUGACACAUAAUCAUCUUAG